UAUAUUUUAAUGUAUUAUGAAGCAUAAAAAUUUUUGAAAUUUUUUGAAAUAGUUUAAAUCUAUUAAAUAUAA
RNAcentral lists this transfer RNA (72 nucleotides) under Anoplolepis gracilipes. RNAcentral describes it as "tRNA-Gln". Lineage: Eukaryota; Metazoa; Arthropoda; Insecta; Hymenoptera; Formicidae. The record is from RNAcentral.